ACUACCUCCGAGCCCAACGUUUGACCGUCCGUCUUAUUUGAAAAAUUUGAAAAUAUUUAGUCACACAUAAAGUACUAUUCAUGUUUUAUCAUCUAAUAGCAAUAAAAAUACUAAUCAUAAAAAAAUUUCUAAUAAGACGAACGGUCAAACGUUGAACGUGAAUAGUGCAAAACUGCACUUAUU
Molecule: non-coding RNA, 183 nt
Organism: Oryza glumipatula
Lineage: Eukaryota; Viridiplantae; Streptophyta; Magnoliopsida; Poales; Poaceae
Source: Rfam